UACGAAGGGUGCAAGCGUUAAUCGGAAUUACUGGGCGUAAAGCGCGCGUAGGUGGUUGGGUAAGUUGAAUGUGAAAGCCCCGGGCUCAACCUGGGAACUGCAUCCAAAACUGCCCGACUAGAGUACGGUAGAGGGUGGUGGAAUUUCCUGUGUAGCGGUGAAAUGCGUAGAUAUAGGAAGGAACACCAGUGGCGAAGGCGACCACCUGGACUGAUACUGACACUGAGGUGCGAAAGCGUGGGGAGCAAACAGG
RNAcentral lists this ribosomal RNA (253 nucleotides) under uncultured bacterium. RNAcentral describes it as "partial 16S ribosomal RNA". It matches the Rfam family "Bacterial small subunit ribosomal RNA", at positions 524 to 776 of the family's 1533-position model. The record is from RNAcentral.